RNAcentral lists this ribosomal RNA (372 nucleotides) under uncultured bacterium. RNAcentral's name for it is "bacterial SSU rRNA". It matches the Rfam family "Bacterial small subunit ribosomal RNA", at positions 975 to 1347 of the family's 1533-position model. The record is from RNAcentral.
CUGGACUAGAAUGUGAGGGGAUAUCGGGUAAUGCCGGUAGUCCGGGAAACCGGACCCAAAACAAGGUGCUGCAUGGCUGUCGUCAGCUCGUGUCGUGAGAUGUUGGGUUAAGUCCCGCAACGAGCGCAACCCUUAUCAACAGUUGCCAUCAUUAAGUUGAGAACUCUAUCAAGACUGCUGUUGAUAAAACGGAGGAAGGUGGGGAUGAUGUCAAGUCAUCAUGGCCUUUAUGCUUAGGGCUACACACGUGCUACAAUGGCCGGUACAAAGCGUUACGAUCCCGCGAGGGGGAGUUAAUCGCAAAAACCGGUCUCAGUUCGGAUUGGAGUCUGCAACUCGACUCCAUGAAGUUGGAAUCGCUAGUAAUCGCAA